UUUUUUCUUGUAUUCAUUUCCUAGAGGAGCCCUACAAGCUGGGACACACCUGUGAUUACCAUCAUCCCAAAUUUAGACCAGAGCAGCCCAUUGGAUGUUGAGUCAUGCCCCUGGAUUCCAGGUCCCAGGCCAUUUUCACGGCUGCCUAAUUGGCUCCGAGGUGACGAGUGGGGAAUGGGGGUGUUUGAUGAGAAGGGUCAGGUCACGGGGGUAGUGACGUGGGUGUUAGGGUAAGAUAUCCGGUGACCUAAUGGUAAGAAUAAAGUCUCUGAGAGGCGGUGCUCCCUUUGGCUGAGGGCUUGGGGAGGUUUUCUGUGCCCCCACAUCAGGCCACUAGCAUGGGUGCGACGUUCUGGGGAAGGCCACAUGGAGCCCAGCAGAGGUUAACAGCACGAUCCCAAGCAGAAGGCAGGUAAGUGUGUGGCGGGCACAUCCACGCGGUUGGUGCCGUCCUCUGGAAACGCAGAACACCUUGAAGCAGAAGUGAACGGAGGUGACUGGGGCUGUCUAGGGAGAGGAUGUUGGGACGUCAGAGGAGGCUCUGGGAUACACGUGAGCAAACAUCAUUGAAAUAUCUCACCCUGGGUCCAGACUGAAGGGGAGAUGGGCACAACCCCCGGAGGCACCCCAAAAAGCAGAACAGUGAUACUGAAGGAGGGAGAGACAGUUGGGCAGGGAGCAGCACCAGGAAACUUGCAAGGAGACAGUGACAAGCAACUUUGACCAGAAGAGGAAAUUGCAGAGUUUGAGGUUCCGUAGAUGAGUGCUGUUCUUAUGCUGCAUAACUUGAGAUCUACCCUCCAAACAAAUUUUUAGGAGCACAAUACAUACAGAGUUGUACCACAGGUCUCUGAACCAUUUGCCUUGUCUAAGACUUUGUGCCUUUGACCUUCAUCUCCUCAGCCCCUGCACCAGCCCCUGCUGCUCUUUGAUGCUAAGAACAUGACUACUUCACACAACUCACAUGGUGCCAUCAUGCAGUGUUGGUCUCUCUGUCACUGGCUUAUUUCACUUUGCAUCAGGUCCUCAAGACUCAUCUAUAUUCUUGCCUUUUGCAGAAUUUCCUCCUUUCUUAAAGCUCGGGAGCAGCCCAUUUUCUGUGUAUACCCUAUUGUAUUUAUCUGCUCAUCCACUGGUGAACAUUUAGGUUGCUCCUAUGUUUACAGCUACUGUAAACAUUGCUGCAGUGAACAUGUGAGUGCUGAUAUCUCCUCAAGCUCCUGUUUUCAAUUCUUCUGGAUAAAUGCCUGGAAUGAUAGGAGUUCUGCAUGUGAUUUACCGAGGAGCCUCCACCCUGUCCUCCACAGAGGCUGCACUUACGUUCACACAUCGGUGCACGAGGCCUGCCAUGUCCCCACACCCCCCAUUGGACCCUAAGAUCCAGCUGUCAAGGGAGGGAAGAUGUAAGGUUGACUACAUGGAGUGGAGGUGGUCACAAGACCCGAGACAGAAGACGGCAUGAAAAAACCCAGCUUGGCUGUUCACACCCAGAUAUGAGCAAGCAGUGGCCAUCUCUGCACCUCCUCCUCGUCUGAUGGUAGCUAGCUCCUAAAAUUGCCCUCAGGGACCAAGUGAGAUGAUGUGCCUGGGACCCAGAACGAACUUCACAGUCACAGACAUAGGUUUGCAAAAAUGACAGCUUUUGUCUCUGACAUUGAAUUUAGGUCUCAAAGCUCUUUGAAGCUGAAAUAUGAUUGUGCGCACCAAAGGAGUGUCAUUCAUUCUGCACCCUGAAACCUCUUUGGGGACUUGGUCAAGAGUGUCCCCC
RNAcentral lists this long non-coding RNA (1768 nucleotides) under Canis lupus familiaris (dog). RNAcentral describes it as "lncRNA (ENSCAFG00000055932.1, ENSCAFG00805000498.1, ENSCAFG00845000301.1)". Lineage: Eukaryota; Metazoa; Chordata; Mammalia; Carnivora; Canidae. The record is from RNAcentral.